CUACGAUAGUAGAGGGGCAUUAUGUUUGCUGGUCUGUGCCUCCGUUCGUGCGUCCGUUCGUCCGUUCGUCCGUGCGUCCGUUUAGGUUAAAGUUUUUGGUCAAGGUGGUUUUUGAUGACGUUGAAGUUACAUCAACUUGAAACUUAGCACACAUGUUCCCUAUGAUAUGAUCUUUCUAAUUUUAAUUUCAAAUUAAAGUUUUGAC
This 205-nucleotide long non-coding RNA is filed under the name Mytilus galloprovincialis (Mediterranean mussel). Lineage: Eukaryota; Metazoa; Mollusca; Bivalvia; Mytilida; Mytilidae. The record is from RNAcentral.